RNAcentral lists this ribosomal RNA (301 nucleotides) under uncultured bacterium. RNAcentral describes it as "partial 16S ribosomal RNA". It matches the Rfam family "Bacterial small subunit ribosomal RNA", at positions 509 to 809 of the family's 1533-position model. The record is from RNAcentral.
CAGUAGCCGCGGUAAUACGUAGGGUGCGAGCGUUAAUCGGAAUUACUGGGCGUAAAGCGUGCGUAGGCGGUUUGUUAAGUCUGUUGUGAAAUCCCCGGGCUCAACCUGGGAAUGGCAAUGGAUACUGGCAAGCUAGAGUGUGUCAGAGGAUGGUGGAAUUCCCGGCGUAGCGGUGAAAUGCGUAGAGAUCGGGAGGAACAUCAGUGGCGAAGGCGGCCAUCUGGGACAACACUGACGCUGAGGCACGAAAGCGUGGGGAGCAAACAGGAUUAGAUACCCGCGUAGUCCCUGUCUCUUAUAA